This 367-nucleotide ribosomal RNA is filed under the name uncultured organism. RNAcentral describes it as "bacterial SSU rRNA". It matches the Rfam family "Bacterial small subunit ribosomal RNA", at positions 526 to 896 of the family's 1533-position model. The record is from RNAcentral.
CGGAGGGUGCAAGCGUUAUCCGGAUUCACUGGGUUUAAAGGGUGCGUAGGUGGGCAAGUAAGUCAGUGGUGAAAUCUCCGGGCUUAACCCGGAAACUGCCAUUGAUACUAUUUGUCUUGAAUACUGUGGAGGUCAGCGGAAUAUGUCAUGUAGCGGUGAAAUGCUUAGAUAUGACAUAGAACACCAAUUGCGAAGGCAGCUGGCUACACAAAUAUUGACACUGAGGCACGAAAGCGUGGGGAUCAAACAGGAUUAGAUACCCUGGUAGUCCACGCCCUAAACUAUGGAUACUCGACAUUUGCGAUAAACUGCAAGUGUCUGAGCGAAAGCAUUAAGUAUCCACCUGGGAAGUACGAUCGCAAGAUUG